Molecule: ribosomal RNA, 440 nt
Filed under: uncultured bacterium
Lineage: Bacteria
Description: partial 16S ribosomal RNA
Rfam family: Bacterial small subunit ribosomal RNA
Source: RNAcentral
CCUACGGGUGGCUGCAGUGGGGAAUAUUGCACAAUGGGGGCAACCCUGAUGCAGCGACGCCGCGUGAGUGAAGAAGUAUUUCGGUAUGUAAAGCUCUGUCAGCAGGGAAGAAAAUGACGGUACCUGACCAAGAAGCCCCGGCUAACUACGUGCCAGCAGCCGCGGUAAUACGUAGGGGGCAAGCGUUAUCCGGAUUUACUGGGUGUAAAGGUAGCGUAGACGGCAGGGCAAGUCUGGAGUGAAAGGCGGGGGCUCAACCCGCGGACGGCACUGGAAACUGCCAGGCUGGAGUGCAGGAGAGGUAAGUGGAAUUCCUAGUGUAGCAGUGAAAUGCGUAGAUAUUAGGAGGAACACCAGUGGCGAAGGCGGCUUACUGGACUGUAACUGACGUUGAGGCUCGAAAGCGUGGGGAGCAAACAGGAUUAGAUACCCCUGUAGUC